RNAcentral lists this long non-coding RNA (2595 nucleotides) under Polistes fuscatus (common paper wasp). RNAcentral describes it as "uncharacterized LOC122522294, transcript variant X2". The record is from RNAcentral. Lineage: Eukaryota; Metazoa; Arthropoda; Insecta; Hymenoptera; Vespidae.
AAUCGAAAUGAAAUCGUUUAUUGCGAUAUCGUCAUUUUGUAUGCUACGCAAUACAAUUUAAUUUACAGUAUUGAAUCCUAUCAAAUAUUAAUAUAGAUUUAAUCUUUUGUGGUUAGGUACGAUGAUCAAGAAAGAAGUAAUAUUUUGCUGCUUCAGAAAUGAUGUGAGGAAAAAGUAUUACAGAUAUAAUGGAAUUUUUCUUGUUUAUAUUUUUAAAUUGGUUCAAGGAAAUUAACCUGAUUAGUUGGAACUAUGAAAUAGGAUGAAGCGGUAACUGCAAGAGCAAUGCUGAGAAAAUUAUAAGAAGACCGGUCUAAUACUUGUGAAAGGAUUACCAGGUUUUUUCUUCUUCGUGGAUUUGAGAGAAGCCGAUAGUAAAGCUUAAAUUCUUUGGUGGUCCCUUUAAAGAAGGUAAAGAGUACAAGGUGAUGAACGUUUACAACAACGGAAGACGAGAACUUCCACAAGACACCGUAAAAUCUACUUAAAUGCGAAACCAUUUUAAAGAGUAACGCCCGUUACGAAGAACUCUAUAGACACACGGAGUCGAGCAUAAACGCACGUUAUGGAAAAUAGCUUCCCUCGUGGAAUUCAGGGGAAAAGAGAGAGUAAGAGAGAGCAGUAUUUUAUCGAUCGGAGCGUUCCCUGCAAAUCGACAAAACCGUUAUCGGUUCGUCGUCUUGAAAAGGAGAACGAAAAGGAGAAGGAGAUCGACAUCGGCCAGUGUAUUUGGCCGCUCGUAAAAAUAAAUCUGCCGGCAUAAUCCGUUCAAAAUGAUAGUGACUGUCCUCGUUUUAGCCUUGGACGAUGGAUAUGCUGAGAGAAUUUUCCACUAUGGUUUUAUUUCCUUGCUUUCACGAAACGAAGGAAGAAACGCGGUAGUAAGAAGACUCAACCAGGAUUAUUAUUAUGAUUAUUUUCAUUACAGACUUUCUCAAACGUCACAGUUCUGAUUGUUACGGUUAUUACAGUUGGUAGUGUCACCAGACAAUUACGGAUUACCGUGACAAAAAAUAGCUACAUCAAAUUUCAAAACUCGAAGAUAUUCUUUUUCCCUACCUGACAAAAUGCAUACACGCAUACACGUAGAUACAUUCCUUUACAUAAAUCAAUGUUGUUUCUGUACGUAGCACGAAAUUAUCGCUUUUUAUUAUCGUCUCAAACGUUGGGCUCGGCGAGAUGCUUCGAAACGGGUAUGCGCAUAAAUAUAUGCUUAGCCGAACGAGAUUUCGAGGGUGGCAGGCUAAAGCCACGGACUCAAGGCAAUAAAACUCUCCGGAAUUUACACCGAAAUUAGACUUUACCGCCCUGCCAGGUUCAUCCCGAGCGACAAACCCCUCCGUCUCUAUCCACCCUUAUCAAGGAAACAGGAAAGGGUUGGAAAGUCAGCGAAUAAGAGAAAGAGACAGAGAGAGAACGACCGAGCCAGUUGGUAAUUCUCCUACACCACUCCGACAGAAUGGCAACUUUCUCAUUCCAGUUCUCUACGAAAUAGAACGUUACACCGUACCAUUUCUGCACCGUCGCUUUCCUCUACUCCUCCCUCCCUCUCUUCCUCUAUUUUUCUCUAUUUUUUUUUCUUUCUUUCUUUAUUUCUCUUCUAUACUCAUCUUCUCUAUUUUCCUAUACGAUCCUUUGCCACUCGCCUUUUUCCUUCAUAUUCUCUUUCUCUUUCUCUCUAUGCGAGAAGCUCUCAGAGACCAUAAAAACCAGCAGUUCAUUUCCCUAAUGCGAGCGCUCGAGUCGUGCCAAACGGAGAUGGGGAACUCGUAGGGCAGUGACGAUGGCCCGAAUCCUACCGCGAACGGCUUCGUCCCUUGGCUUUAAGGGUGAUCGAGCUUACCUUCAGGACUUUUUCUUCUUUUUCUUCUUUUAUGAUGUUUUUUUUCUUUUUUAUUUUUUUAACUCGUUUUUCGUUUUCCCGCUUUUCUUGAAGAUCACGUAAUGCCCGAGACGUCGGUGAUCGAGUUCUUCCGAAAAAAAGAAAGUAAGAAAAAGAUGUAGGACGAUAAAAAGGGCGAAAGGUUUUACGUGAAAUUGGGCUUGAGGAAGAAAUUAAAGAGAAGAAAAGAGUUGGAAGUAAGAAAAAAAAAUAAAGCUAAGAAAUUAAGACUACAGUAGUUUUAUUUUACAUGCCAACGCGUUACCCUACGUCUGUUCCCUGUUACGCGGAAGCAAAGUUGUAUACCUAAUAUAAUACUACUAUUAUAAUAAUUAUAGGUAAAUAAUAUAUAUAAAUAUUCGUAUAAUAUUAGAAUAAUAAUAUUCUAGUAAUAUUAGAAGAGACCAUAUAACUCUAUGAAGUAUCGAUGACAUAGUACACUGUAGAUCCUUGUUGAAUUUGUAUUGAUAUUCUCUACAAUUUUUGUUGAAUUUAAAAUAUUGAUUUCCAUUGAAAAAAAUUGUUAUGACUUCCGUAUCUUGACAAAAGCGCAUUCUAUGAAAUAGCUGUAAUAAAUAUUACGUUUCCUUUUGAAAAACUAGCAACUUUUUUAUUUCAAAUAUUUGUUUAUAAAAUAAAUAGGGUCGGAGAUGUUUGGUAAUAUCGUUUAAAACGAGACAUCUGGUAUAUUAAUAAAAAUAGUGCUGUAAUAU